GACGAACGCUGGCGGUGUGCUUAACACAUGCAAGUCGAACGGUAAGGCCCUUUCGGGGGUACACGAGUGGCGAACGGGUGAGUAACACGUGAGUAACCUGCCCUCAUCUCUGGGAUAACAGUCGGAAACGGUUGCUAAUACUGGAUAUGAGCCUGCAAGGCAUCUUGUGGGUUGGAAAGAUUUUUUGGUUGGGGAUGGACUCGCGGCCUAUCAGCUUGUUGGUGAGGUAGUGGCUCACCAAGGCUUCGACGGGUAGCCGGCCUGAGAGGGCGACCGGCCACAUUGGGACUGAGAUACGGCCCAAACUCCUACGGGAGGCAGCGGUGGGGAAUAUUGCACAAUGGACGGAAGUCUGAUGCAGCAACGCCGCGUGCGGGAUGACGGCCUUCGGGUUGUAAACCGCUUUCAAUUGUGACGAAGCUUUUUGUGACGGUAGCAGUAGAAGAAGCACCGGCUAACUACGUG
RNAcentral lists this ribosomal RNA (465 nucleotides) under uncultured bacterium. RNAcentral describes it as "partial 16S ribosomal RNA". It matches the Rfam family "Bacterial small subunit ribosomal RNA", at positions 28 to 507 of the family's 1533-position model. The record is from RNAcentral.